UACGGGGGGAGCAAGCGUUGUUCGGAUUUACUGGGCGUAAAGGGCGCGUAGGCGGCCAGCACAAGUCGGUUGUGAAAUCUCCGGGCUUAACCCGGAAAGGUCAGCCGAUACUGCGGGGCUAGAGUGCAGAAGGGGCAACUGGAAUUCUCGGUGUAGCGGUGAAAUGCGUAGAUAUCGAGAGGAACACCUGCGGCGAAGGCGGGUUGCUGGGCUGACACUGACGCUGAGGCGCGAAAGCUAGGGGAGCGAACGGG
RNAcentral lists this ribosomal RNA (254 nucleotides) under uncultured bacterium. RNAcentral's name for it is "partial 16S ribosomal RNA". It matches the Rfam family "Bacterial small subunit ribosomal RNA", at positions 524 to 776 of the family's 1533-position model. The record is from RNAcentral.